UGUGAUGCCCUUAGAUGUUCUGGGCCGCACGCGCGCUACACUGACGGAGCCAGCGAGUCUAACCUUGGCCGAGAGGUCUGGGUAAUCUUGUGAAACUCCGUCGUGCUGGGGAUAGAGCAUUGUAAUUAUUGCUCUUCAACGAGGAAUUCCUAGUAAGCGCAAGUCAUCAACUUGCGUUGAUUACGUCCCUGCCCUUUGUACACA
RNAcentral lists this ribosomal RNA (204 nucleotides) under Dujonia zeylanoides. RNAcentral's name for it is "[Candida] zeylanoides partial 18S ribosomal RNA". It matches the Rfam family "Eukaryotic small subunit ribosomal RNA", at positions 1463 to 1668 of the family's 1831-position model. Lineage: Eukaryota; Fungi; Ascomycota; Pichiomycetes; Serinales; Debaryomycetaceae. The record is from RNAcentral.